UACGAAGGGGGCUAGCGUUGCUCGGAAUCACUGGGCGUAAAGGGUGCGUAGGCGGGUUUUUAAGUCAGAGGUGAAAUCCUGGAGCUCAACCCCAGAACUGCCUUUGAUACUGAAAGUCUUGAGUAUGGGAGAGGUGAGUGGAACUGCGAGUGUAGAGGUGAAAUUCGUAGAUAUUCGCAAGAACACCAGUGGCGAAGGCGGCUCACUGGCCCAUUACUGACGCUGAGGCACGAAAGCGUGGGGAGCAAACAGG
RNAcentral lists this ribosomal RNA (253 nucleotides) under uncultured bacterium. RNAcentral's name for it is "partial 16S ribosomal RNA". It matches the Rfam family "Bacterial small subunit ribosomal RNA", at positions 524 to 776 of the family's 1533-position model. The record is from RNAcentral.